Macaca fascicularis (crab-eating macaque) is the source of this 117-nucleotide unclassified non-coding RNA. It matches the Rfam family "Metazoan signal recognition particle RNA". Rfam says of the family: The signal recognition particle (SRP) is a universally conserved ribonucleoprotein. It is involved in the co-translational targeting of proteins to membranes. The eukaryotic SRP consists of a 300-nucleotide 7S RNA and six proteins: SRPs 72, 68, 54, 19, 14, and 9. NCBI's taxonomy places the organism in Eukaryota, Metazoa, Chordata, Mammalia, Primates, Cercopithecidae. The record is from Ensembl.
GCCGGGCAUGGUGGCUCAUGCCUGUAAUCCCAGCACUUUGGGAGGCCAAGGCGGGUGGAUCACCUGAGGUCAGGAGUUCAAGACCAGCCUGGCCAACAUGGUGAGACCCUGUCUCUA